RNAcentral lists this transfer RNA (72 nucleotides) under Dipodomys ordii (Ord's kangaroo rat). It matches the Rfam family "tRNA". From Rfam's summary of the family: Transfer RNA (tRNA) molecules are approximately 80 nucleotides in length. Their secondary structure includes four short double-helical elements and three loops (D, anti-codon, and T loops). The record is from Rfam by way of RNAcentral. Lineage: Eukaryota; Metazoa; Chordata; Mammalia; Rodentia; Heteromyidae.
UGAGAUGUAAUUUAGUGGUAGAAUGUGUGUUUAGCAUGUGCAAGGCCCUGAAUUCAAUCCCCAGCAUCUUUU